This 528-nucleotide ribosomal RNA is filed under the name Macrobrachium australe. RNAcentral's name for it is "partial 16S ribosomal RNA". It matches the Rfam family "Bacterial large subunit ribosomal RNA", at positions 1808 to 2607 of the family's 2925-position model. The record is from RNAcentral. Lineage: Eukaryota; Metazoa; Arthropoda; Malacostraca; Decapoda; Palaemonidae.
UUAAAAAACAUGUCUGUGUGAAUUAGUUAUAAAGUCUAGCCUGCCCACUGAUUUAUUUAAAGGGCCGCGGUAAUUUGACCGUGCGAAGGUAGCAUAGUCAGUAGUCUUUUAAUUGGAGGCUUGAAUGAAUGGUUGGACGAGGGAUGAACUGUCUUCUUUACGUGAGUUGAAUUUAACUUUUGAGUGAAAAGGCUCAAAUUAACUAAUGGGACGAUAAGACCCUAUAAAACUUAAUAUAAAUUUAGUUUAAUUUGUGACAUAAGUGAAAAGUGGUUAUACUUCAUUUAUAUUUCGUUGGGGAGAUGUAGAUAUAAAAGUAACUGUCUAUUAAAUUUAAUAGCCAUAGUUAGUAAUCGAUCCUUCUUUGGGGAUUAAAAGAGUAAGUUACUUUAGGGAUAACAGCGUGAUUUUCUUUGAGAGUUCUUAUCGACAAGAGUAGUUGCGACCUCGAUGUUGAAUUAAAAUUUCAGCUAGGUGUAGCCGUUUAGCUGGUGGGUCUGUUCGACCUUUAAAAUUUUACGUGAUCUG